RNAcentral lists this non-coding RNA (74 nucleotides) under Pedobacter suwonensis. Lineage: Bacteria; Pseudomonadati; Bacteroidota; Sphingobacteriia; Sphingobacteriales; Sphingobacteriaceae. The record is from RNAcentral.
CAAUAACCCCGACAGGAGCGAACACGAACUCCGUUUUUUCAUCGGGUGAUUAAAGCGAAUGAGCGGGACUGCCG